Molecule: RNA transcript, 3937 nt
Organism: Hemicordylus capensis (graceful crag lizard)
Lineage: Eukaryota; Metazoa; Chordata; Lepidosauria; Squamata; Cordylidae
Gene: CEP112
Gene name: centrosomal protein 112
Exons: 29
Source: RefSeq, a predicted model, not a curated record
GGCCACGCCCUUAGUCGGGAGGGACCGGGCGGGGUUGGUUUGAACCGUUGGCUGGGCUUGAUUGGGCUCCUAGCAGCAAUAGCAACAUCUUCAUCUGGUCCCCGGGCCUGAAAGCUGUCAGGGAGGGUGUAGGGCGGAGAAGACUGCAGAGGAACAGAGGAGGAGCCUGAGGCCUGGGGGGUGGAUUGAGUCCCCCGAGGCAACUCAGUUCCCUGCUCCCCACUUCUGUAGUGACCCCUGUAGUCUCACGCGUUUGUGUGUGGGUGCCAGUCCCUUCCUCAAGCAGGGCCCAGAGCUCUGCUCAAACCCUCGUCAUCUUGGACCGCGCGAGGCAAGUUACUUCCCCGCUGCGCCAUUAUGUCCUGAAAAUCAUGGUUUAUUUAGCUGAGCUAUCUUCAAGAAAAGCAAUCCAGCUAAGCAGGGAUCCUUUUCAACACAUCUGCAUACUAUUGAAUGAGCACAAUGAGCAGUGAAGAAGAAACCUGGGAGAAACUGGAUGCUGAAUUUGAUCACUAUGUUGUGGAUAUGAAGCCUUUCGUUUUGAAACUGCCCCAUAAAUCAGAACGUCAGAGAUGUGCUCUUUGGAUUAAAAAACUCUGCGAGCCUUCAGGUGCAGGCACAGGAGUUGUUGGUAGGAAGAACCGGAACUUACAUGCAAAACUCCUGCUGCAUAUGCUGAAGAGGGGUGUUCUGGAAGGUCCUUUUACCCAUAAGCCAGAAACAGGAAUAUUAAAAACCCUUCCUUCAUACAUGUCUAUCUAUUUUGAUGAACCAAAUUCAACAAGAGUGUGGAAUGACAGCUCCGAAGGUUUACCUGACUGGGUUAUGGGAGAACUUGGACAAAGUGAUACUAAGAUGGAUGAAUCCUGGAAGCACUCUUUUAAAGAGGAGUCUGCUUUGGUAACCUCACCACUUGUGCACAGGGAACAACUUACAUACAAUGGAAAAAUAGUACUAAAGUCACAUUCCAUGAGUCCACCUCAUCCAUCAGAUGAUGUCUUCUCUUCAAAGAUGCCUGAAGAUCAUCGCACAAAAAAAUUUUCUUUGGAUGACAGUGAUCUUGAAGUUCGCCUCAACAGCUGGAAUCUGGGGUUGGAAAAUCCCAGAUAUUUACGUGAGAAGCCUAUACACCUGUCACUGAUGUCACCCAAGAUUGGUGUGGGGAAAAACAGCAGCUUGCGAGAUGAGCAGUCAUUGUUCCGCAUGCAUGAAAAAGAGCUGGAGAUGAAAACAAAACUUAUGGAAGCUAGAAUUCAUGAAGAAAAGCUCAAAUUACAGCAGAAGCAUGAUUCAGAUGUUCAGAAGAUUUUGGACAGAAAGAAUAAUGAAAUUGAGGUACUGAAGGCCAUGUACAAAACUAAACAGAGUGAAGCUGAAGAGACUAUUCGAAAGCUUGAAAAAAAAGUUCAGACGCUUGUCCGUGAGUCACAAGUCGUUAGAGAAGCUAAAGAAAAACAGAUUGUGGAACUAAAAAAGUUAUGUGAGCAAAGUACGGAUUCCCUGAAUAAUGAGUGGGAGAAACGGCUUCAUAAUGCUGUGGCUGAAAUGGAAAAGGAAAAGUUUGAUCUUCAGAAGAAACACACGGAAAAUAUCCAGGAAUUGCUGGAGGAUACAAAUGCACGUCUAAGUAAAAUGGAAGCGGAAUAUUUGGCACAAACCAAGGCAACUACUCAGAUGGUCAAAGAAUUGGAGGCGCGUGUCCAUCAGUUGACCCUUGAAGCUGAAACCAGUAACUUGCAGCGUCAGAAAUUAUCACAAGAAAAGACAAGUCUGGAACAAUCCUACCAGGCUAUGUGCACAGAAUUUGAAGAAGUCAAGGCAAGGUGCAACUCACUUCAGAAAGAGAAGGGGCGUAUUGUGCAUGAUUGUGAGCAGAACAUUCAAGAGCUACAAAGCAAAUAUGAUACUGACCUAAAUUUGAUGAACCAGGAACAUGCACUUUCUGCAGCUAAGGCAUCUGAUGUGAUUGAAGAAUUAGAACAGUGUGUGUCUCAAUUAAAACAACAGUUACUAGAAUCAGAACAUCAAAGGCAGCAACAGCUGAGGGACCAAGAGCAGGCAUUUCUACAGGAGAAACUUCAUUCAGAGAGAUCUCAUGAUAAAAAGAUUCAUGGAUUACAGAAUGACUUCGAUAAAGAGAGAGCGGAUUCUCAUAGGAGGAUACGAAAGUUGGAAGACAUUCUGAAAGAGAAGGAGGAGCAGCUGACUCGGGUGAUGGAGGUACAGAGGCUGCAGGCCCAGCAGGCUGAUGCUGCCCUGGAGGAGUUUAAGCGGCAGGUGGAGCUGAACUCAGAAAAGGUCUAUGCUGAAAUGAAAGAGCAGAUGGAAAAGGUAGAAGCAGAUCUAAGCAGAUCAAAAUCUCUUCGUGAAAAGCAAUCCAAAGAAUUCUCCUGGCAGCUGGAAGACCUCAAGCAAAGAUAUGAACAACAGAUAGUAGAGCUGAAGCUGGAGCAUGAACAGGAGAAGACGCACCUAUUCCAACAGCAUAACACAGACAAGGAUUGCCUGGUCCGAGAACAUGAACAGGAAAUGGAAAAACUAGAAAAACAGCUUCGGGCUGCCAUGACAGAGUACGACAAUAAAACUCAAGAAUCCAGGAAGCGAGAUGCACAGGUCAUCUCUGAUAUGGAGGCUCAGAUCCAUACACUGAGAGAAGAACUUAUUCAGGUGAAAACCCAGAGAAAACAAGAACUAGUUGAACUUGGCCUUCUUAGAGAAGAAGAAAAGCAGAGAGCUGCCCUGGGCCAUGAGACUACCAUGAACAAGCUUAAAACUGAUACAGAAAAGAUGAUUCUAGAUCUGAAAAAGACUCACGCUGCAGAAAUAGAGAUGGCACUAGAAAAGGCCAACAGCAGGUUGAAGCAGAUUGAAAAGGAAUACAGUCAGAAAUGUGCCAAAUCUUCACAGAUCAUAGCUGAACUUAAGACAACCAUUUCCUCUCUGACAGAGGAAAGCAACCAGCAGCAGUUUGCUGCAGAAAAGCAUCUGCAGAAUAUUUUACAAAAGUUUGAAGAUGAGAAGCAGCAGCUGAUUAGAGAUAAUGACAGAGCAAUCAAGGGAUUGGAAAAUGAGAUUGAGAAGUAUUGCAAUCAGGUUCGCGCUACAGAAAAAAAAAUGCAACAGAGGGACUUGGAGACACAGGAACAGAUUACUUCUAUACGGCAAGAAUAUGAAACCAAACUUAAAGGUCUGAUGCCCACAUCUGUGAGACAAGAACUUGAAGACACAAUUCUAUCACUAAAAUCUCAGGUAAAUUUUCUGCAAAAAAGAGCAUCCAUCCUUCAAGAGGAAUUGAACACAUAUCGUACCAGAAGUAAACCUUUGAGAAGUCAACCCACCUCCCAGCACCUCCGUGCUUAGUCAGUGCUAUGAGAACAAGAUCAGAGCACUUGCAGGUGCUUUGCAAGCCUGGGCCUUGCCUCAGCAUUCAUGACGAGACGGUGGCUCAACACAUCGCUGCAGGUAACCACUGGAGCAGAUUGAUUUGCUAAAGUGUCCAAUGGACUUCUUUCAACAGGUUUGAAGAUUUGGAUCUUCUGAACUAAUCUGAGAGAUCAGUGGUGGUUUUGUUAAAAGCAGACAAUGUAAUUAAGUUCAGGAAAGCACAUCCCUCAUUCAUAACAGUAUUUUAAGUUACCACUUAUUUGAAUUAUUUUAUCAUUAUAUUUCAGAUAUUUAUCCUUUUGAUAUAUUCAAUAUUUGUGUGUGCCAAUAUGCUUAUUGAAAAGCUUAAUUUUUGCUUGCUCAUAAUUACUUUUGUUAUUGGCUUCUUGAUGCAGUUUUGUUCACUUUUACAUAUGCUCAAAAUCACGUCCUUAUAAUCAUCAUCAUCAUCAUCAUCAUCAUCAUCAUUAUUAUAUUGUCCAGAAUAUUUUAAAAAAACAUGACAUUGUUUUCCUGUUCACAUGUUACACAAUAUUAAAGUAUCUUUUGUACA